UAUUGCACAAUGGGCGAAAGCCUGAUGCAGCCACGCCGCGUGAGCUAUGGAGGCCUUCGGGUCGUAAAGCUCUGUCCUCAAGGAAGAUAAUGACGGUACUUGAUGAGGCAGCCCCUGCUAACUACGUGCCAGCAGCCGCGGUAAUACGUAGGGGGCUAGCGUUAUCCGGAAUUACUGGGCGUAAAGGGUGCGUAGGUGGUUUCUUAAGUCAGAGGUGAAAGGCUACGGCUCAACCGUAGUAAGCCGUUGAAACUGGGGAACUUGAGUGCAGGAGAGGAGAGUGGAAUUCCUAGUGUAGCGGUGAAAUGCGUAGAUAUUAGGAGGAACACCAGUUGCGAAGGCGGCUCUCUGGACUGUAACUGACACUGAGGCACGAAAGCGUGGGGAGCAAACA
RNAcentral lists this ribosomal RNA (394 nucleotides) under uncultured bacterium. Its description in RNAcentral is "bacterial SSU rRNA". It matches the Rfam family "Bacterial small subunit ribosomal RNA", at positions 362 to 774 of the family's 1533-position model. The record is from RNAcentral.